GAUGAACGCUGGCGGCGUGCUUAACACAUGCAAGUCGAGCGAGGCCCUCCUUCGGGAGGUGUCCUAGCGGCGAACGGGUGAGUAACACGUGAGCAACCUGCCCCCGGCUCUGGGAUAACUCCAAGAAAUUGGGGCUAAUACCGGAUAUGACCGCUGACCGCAUGGUCUGGUGGUGGAAAGAUUUAUCGGCUGGGGAUGGGCCCGCGGCCUAUCAGCUUGUUGGUGGGGUAGUGGCCUACCAAGGCGACGACGGGUAGCCGGCCUGAGAGGGUGACCGGCCACACUGGGACUGAGACACGGCCCAGACUCCUACGGGAGGCAGCAGUGGGGAAUAUUGCGCAAUGGGCGGAAGCCUGACGCAGCGACGCCGCGUGGGGGAUGACGGCCUUCGGGUUGUAAACCUCUUUCAGCAGGGACGAAGCCGCAAGGUGACGGUACCUGCAGAAGAAGCACCGGCCAACUACGUGCCAGCAGCCGCCGUAA
This 483-nucleotide ribosomal RNA is filed under the name uncultured bacterium. Its description in RNAcentral is "partial 16S ribosomal RNA". It matches the Rfam family "Bacterial small subunit ribosomal RNA", at positions 28 to 523 of the family's 1533-position model. The record is from RNAcentral.